AGUUUAAAUAUUACGUAGUUUGUUAAGCUUUUUGCAAUUGUCCCAAUCAGAAUAAACCAGCUUCUAAUCCGUGGACUCAGAACGAAUGAAUGGUCUACUGCCACCCUUGUCACAGGGGACCAAGCAACCUUGGAGAAUCCACCUGCAACAUUCCUCAGAGAAGCUGCAACAUUACUUUAAAAGAAGUUAUAGCAGUGCAUACUAUUGUUGCUUUCCUACAAUGUAGCAAACAGAAACUUUGGUUCCAGAAUGUUCCUGAAUGUAACACAGUAAAAUUUCUUGAUAGGAAUGCUUUACAAAAGAUGUCAUUGAAGAUACCCAGUUUGGAAGUUAAGGCAUUGGCUCUGACAUUAGUUUUGCCCCAUCUAAGCUUAGUUUGGUAGAGUCGUAUAUAGGGCAGGAUCUAGCUAAUAACUGUCCUUAACUCAAAAGCAUAAUCUUAUUUCAGGUAGACAGCCACACCAACUUAAUUGCCAACCAGAUAAAUGGUGAUCACUUGAAAUCUGUUUUAUACUUAUAAAUAAAUCUUGAAAUAUUAUCCGUGCUUAAAAGA
RNAcentral lists this small RNA (553 nucleotides) under Pongo abelii (Sumatran orangutan). Its description in RNAcentral is "sense intronic". The record is from RNAcentral. Lineage: Eukaryota; Metazoa; Chordata; Mammalia; Primates; Hominidae.